RNAcentral lists this ribosomal RNA (720 nucleotides) under uncultured bacterium. RNAcentral's name for it is "bacterial SSU rRNA". It matches the Rfam family "Bacterial small subunit ribosomal RNA", at positions 802 to 1526 of the family's 1533-position model. The record is from RNAcentral.
GUAAACGAUGAGUACUAGGUGUAGGAGGUAUCGACCCCUUCUGUGCCGCAGUAAACACAAUAAGUACUCCGCCUGGGAAGUACGAUCGCAAGAUUAAAACUCAAAGGAAUUGACGGGGGCCCGCACAAGCAGCGGAGCAUGUGGUUUAAUUCGAAGCAACGCGAAGAACCUUACCUGGACUUGACAUACCCUGAAUAUCUUAGAGAUAAGAGAAGCCCUUCGGGGCAGGGAUACAGGUGGUGCAUGGUUGUCGUCAGCUCGUGUCGUGAGAUGUUAGGUUAAGUCCUGCAACGAGCGCAACCCCUGUUGUUAGUUGCUAACAUUUAGUUGAGCACUCUAGCAAGACUGCCGCGGUUAACGCGGAGGAAGGUGGGGAUGACGUCAAAUCAUCAUGCCCCUUAUGUCCAGGGCAACACACGUGCUACAAUGGGCAGUACAGAGAGAAGCAAGACCGCAAGGUGGAGCAAACCUCAAAAACUGCCCCCAGUUCGGAUUGCAGGCUGAAACUCGCCUACAUGAAGUUGGAGUUGCUAGUAAUCGCGAAUCAGAAUGUCGCGGUGAAUACGUUCCCGGGCCUUGUACACACCGCCCGUCACACCAUGAGAGCUGGCAACACCCGAAGUCCGUAGUCUAACUUAGGAGGACGCGGCCGAAGGUGGGGUUAGUAAUUGGGGUGAAGUCGUAACAAGGUAGCCGUAGGAGAACCUGCGGCUGGAUCAC